ACCAUCAAUCAAUCUUGAAUAUUCUUUCUUAAGGCCAUAGAGGUUGAAGGUAACUUACCAUAUGCAUAUAGAUCGGUUCCUAUUUUCAACACCAUCUUUCUAGAGAUUAACCACGUAAGGGUUAUCCAUCUUGGUGACGAAUUCCUCAACAAAAGGACGUAAAAGGUAUUUCGGAGAAACUACCAAGUUGAAGAAGCGACGGGUUAGCAAGAAGAUGAUUACCGAAGACUAUUUCCUAUGUCGGAAAAUUAGAUGGGAAUCUGGGGACCAGAUUCCUUUAAGGAGGGGAGAUUGUAACACCCCGUAAUUUAUGCGAGAGUUUAUUGUACUUAAUAAUGAGAUUUGGGGCUAAUGUGUUAUUAAUAGAUAAUAUUGGGGAGAUAUGUAUAAUAAUAAUUUUAUAAACUUGGCAAUCAAGUUUUGAGGUGGUUUAUCAGAUAAUUGAGAAGUGUGAUUAAUUGGAAUUAGAUAGAGACACGUAGGCUUGACGAGUCAGAUUUUCUCAUCGUCAUCUUCAUCCGAUCAAUAGUGUCUUCCUACACUUCACUUCUCUCUAUAUAAACCAGGACCUUCUCAUCGAUAAACCAUCACCAGGAAAUCAGCAAAAACAAUUCGAAGAAAUUGAAGAAAUUGAGUGUGUAGAAAGAAUCAUGAAAGAACAAAAGGCAGGAUCGAUUCAUAUCCUCUUCUCCAAACUCCUUUCUCUCUCUCUCUCUCUCUCUCUCUCUCUCUCUCUCUCUCUCUCUCUCUCUCUCUCUCAUCAUCUCUCUCUUUCUCUCUCGCCUGCUCUCUUUUCCUCUCUAUCGAUUCUUGGCCGAAAUCACAGAAGUUAAUUGAGAAAAAGUCGAAUUCAUGAACGAGGUUUGGUGGAGUGGGGUAUAGGAAAGGAAUUUGAGGUUUUAAUCGGGAAAUCCCCAAUUCACAUUAUUGGCAGAAUUAGGGUUGCGUGAAGAAGGCUUUAUCAAGGGGCUACAACGAUCAGGUCGCCUACGGUGGUGGUCGCAUCAGAUGGUCGCCGGAAUCGGGUGAAGAAGAUAAGCUGUCCAAAAUCUGAAUUUCAGCUUUUGGUCCUUUGAAGAAUUAAUUGCUCGGAGGCCUUAAAGGUUGAAUAUUGACGAUCAGGACACGCGGUUAGAAACCUUGAGAUAUUAGCUUUCCAUUGGUGUUGGAACUCGGUAGUAUUAAUCGGCGGUGGUUGCCGGAAUUGGGCGAGAAGUUCAGCCUGCUCGCUGGACCUAUAAUGAAAUCUGCUGCCGCACUUGUUUUCGGAGCCAAAAUCGAAGGGUUUGGAGUAAGAAUUUAGGAAUAAUUCCUUCACGAAACUCGUAGAGGACCUCGAAAACUAUUGGUGUCGAGCGUACUAAAGCUCUCAUUCAAGACUCGAGCAUGACUCGAGAGUAAGGGUUUUUAUAGCACUUGCAUUGGACUUCAGGUGAGGAUCCGUAUCCCUUGUCUAUUCUUUUUGGAAAAACAAAAUAUAUGCCGAGCACUCGUCUCGUUCGGUUUAUUAUUGUUAUUACUCGUCGUUUAAAUUCAAUAUAUAUUUAUUGUCACCUAUCUCGUGAACUAAUUUGAUUUCCAAGAAUUAUUAACUCUUAAGCUAUUGAAAUCUUUGAUCGAUUCGAAAUCCUCUUCAUGGAACUUAAUAAGUUCUCAUCUUGAUUCGGGAAUUAUUCGAAUAAUUUCUCAUCCCGAUUCCUUGAUUACUCAAUUGAGUUCUUUUAUCGAUUCUUGAAUAAUUUGGAGUUUCAGUCCGAUUCUCAAUCAUUGUGAAUCGUUUCACAUAUUGACUUGUAUACUAGUUGGAACCACUUCUAUUCUACAGUGGUUCAAUAAACGUAAAUCGUUCUUGUCCCGACUCUUGGACCAUUUAGGAUUAUUCUAUUUAUCCAUUAAAUCACUCGUUUCGUACCCACUGAGAAUUUGAUGGAUCGUUCAUAUCUUGACUUCCCAUUGAUCCUUUGAAACCACUUGUCUUUCGAGCUAUACAACUACGGAUUCAAUUUUAACCGUAGACUAUUGUUGAUUAAGAUCCAUCUUCAUAAUUGUUAUACGAUCUUUGAAUUGUGGUCACUCUCUUAUUGAAACCAUUGAUCGUACCCUUCUUGACUUGUGAUUUUGUGACCACAAGAUAUUAUCACUUGUUAUUGGAAUCCCACAAUCGUUGAACUGUGAUAUUGAUUCUUUCUAAAAUUGAAUUCAUUAUUGGGAUUCAAAAUGUAAAUUGAGAUAGUCGGAAGCAUAUCCGAUAUCUAUACGAUUGUAAUCCUUUGGGGACGCCCUAAGGAUAAUUGAACAGUGGGCCCGGGGCUGUUCGAAAAAGACUGCUGGGCGGUAUCGGGCCGACGGUGGAUGGUCUCUUCGACAGUACCCAUAUUGGAUUUAGACCAUUGGCAUAGUUGGAGGUUAACUGUGCUGAUGGCUGAAUUGGCAUGCGCCCGGGCAUGCCUAUUGAUCGAUUAGCAGGGUAGCUCCCUGAUCGGGGUUAUAAGGUAGUAACGACUAAGGGAGUCACAAGGCUGGUACAGGUACAUGAACAAAUUGUUACCAUGGGAAUCUCCAUGGUCUCAUAUUUGAUAUCCGAAAUUGUUAUCGUGGGAAUCUCCACGCCGGGAAUUACCCGUUGAAUAUUGUUCUUUACCUGUACAUAUUGAUUGUAUUGUUUAUUCUGAUCAUACUGACAUGCCUUAUAUUUUGGCCUAUUAUCCCUUUUCGAACGAUCAUUCUGGUCCAAUUUCAACUCCAAUUCCAUCUCCAAUUCCUUGAACACUUAUAUUGUGAUUAUUAUUUGAUUCGACUGUUUUUCCCUUGUACUCCUCACUAAGUCCACUUGGACUUACUCCUCCUUUAUUUUUCUUCUUAUUCUCAGUAACAUGUGCAUUAGUGGACGAUAUAUUGUUGAUGGCUCUUAGGAGUAGAAGUUAUUCAGAGAUUUUAGAGAGUUUAAUCUAGUGUUGUGUUUAAGAAUGAUUGUAAUUCGAGAACUAUGAAUACGAGAUUAGUUGUGGCAUUUGGUUGUCACGUGUAUUUGAUAUUAUUGUUCAGAAAUUAAGUAAGAGACAUUAUAUUUAUCGGAAGUCAUUGUAUUUAUU
This is a non-coding RNA of Erythranthe guttata (spotted monkey flower), 3092 nucleotides long. Lineage: Eukaryota; Viridiplantae; Streptophyta; Magnoliopsida; Lamiales; Phrymaceae. The record is from RefSeq and is a predicted model, not a curated record.